Molecule: ribosomal RNA, 207 nt
Filed under: uncultured bacterium
Lineage: Bacteria
Description: partial 16S ribosomal RNA
Rfam family: Bacterial small subunit ribosomal RNA
Source: RNAcentral
CGUGUAGGCGGCUCGAUAAGUCCGCUGUGAAAGCCCGGGGCUCAACCCCGGGAUGCCGGUGGAUACUGUCGAGCUAGAGUCCGGAAGAGGCGAGUGGAAUUCCUGGUGUAGCGGUGAAAUGCGCAGAUAUCAGGAGGAACACCAAUUGCGAAGGCAGCUCGCUGGGACGGUACUGACGCUGGGACGCGGAAGCGUGGGGAGCAAACA